UCCCUGGCAGUCCAGUGGUUAAGACCCUGCACUUCUAAUGCAGGAGUCAUAGGUUCGAUCCCUGGUUGGGGAA
This 73-nucleotide transfer RNA is filed under the name Bos taurus (domestic cattle). It matches the Rfam family "tRNA". Rfam says of the family: Transfer RNA (tRNA) molecules are approximately 80 nucleotides in length. Lineage: Eukaryota; Metazoa; Chordata; Mammalia; Artiodactyla; Bovidae. The record is from Rfam by way of RNAcentral. RNAcentral also lists the same sequence under 5 other names.